This is a long non-coding RNA of Sinocyclocheilus grahami, 742 nucleotides long. RefSeq lists it as uncharacterized. The record is from RefSeq and is a predicted model, not a curated record. NCBI's taxonomy places the organism in Eukaryota, Metazoa, Chordata, Actinopteri, Cypriniformes, Cyprinidae. The transcript has 2 exons.
GGCAGGUGGAGGUUCAGGGGAGUGACCCAUACUCCAGUAACUCCAGUCGGAGCCACUACAGAAUGCAGGAUCGCCAAGGACGUGUGAAGUAACAAGCACUGCUUUGGGCAAAAGACUGACAGGCCCUAUUUCUCUCCCCAAUCUUACAACCAGAUAUUUUCAGAAAUUAUUUUGGGGAAAGAUUUAACCAAGGAUUCAAAAAGAAGAAAAAAGAAACUAAAUGAAGACUCUUCUUUGAUUUCUGUUGACCUAAAAGACUUACUUCGAACUUGUAGUAAAAGAAAUGACACGAUUAUUCAUAGGACUACAACUUAAUUCUAUAGGAUUCUAAUAGUGAACCCAAUACUUCUCACCUCUUUUUUUUUUUUUUGGGGUCCCAUUUUUGUUCUGCUGCCUCUUUUUCUCCUAAAGGUUUUUUGUUUUUUAGAAAAAAACAUCUGUUUUUACAGUCCAAGCACAUGGCUUUGCUUCUCUCUUACUACAAUAUUGAUUUUUUUUUUCUUUCUUUUAAAUCAUUGGGUUCUAGUGCCCCGGAUCCUGUAUAGGCAGUUUCCCCCCUCAUUUCUCUGUUAACCCCCCACCUUCUCUUUAUUGGAGCUGAAACCAUCCAGUCAGGACGUGAAAUGAUCAUCGCCUUCUCAGUGGAUGUUCCAUUGUUGGUUAAUUGGCCACUAGUCAGUACAAGUCUCAUUACCUUCUGAGGAAAAAAAAUUAAAAAAAGUUUACCAAGAUUAUAAAAUGG